RNAcentral lists this long non-coding RNA (3112 nucleotides) under Homo sapiens (human). Its description in RNAcentral is "non-protein coding lnc-ENKUR-4:1". Lineage: Eukaryota; Metazoa; Chordata; Mammalia; Primates; Hominidae. The record is from RNAcentral.
UCGUCAGUUUCUCAACAGUCAGACUUUUUCGAGGAGUCUUCCCCCUUCUCCAGAUGGCACCCAGUCCAAAGGACUUGAAAAUAAGAAUGUUUCGAGAUUGGCCCCGGGUGGCUAAGCUACCGUCGCAGAAAUCAAGUCACCUGUGGCAGCGCUGGCCGUGCCCGCUGCGCGAGGGGCCGGCUGGGGAUUACGCACCUCGCAGCCUGGAGCCGAGCGGGUUACAUGGCCUCGCGCUCCCAGCGGCUGGAGUCAGCCCGAGUCCGUCUCUCGGCCCGGCUGCCGCCACCGCCGCUCUCAUUGAGGCGCGUUCAGAAGCUGCUGCUGCUGCUGCCGCCGCGGCCGCCGAAGACGCUGCUCCAUAGUCUCACCCGCCGCAGGUCGUUCCCGCCUCCCGGCACUGGCUCCUCCUCGACCGCUUCGCCCGGAGGCGCGGGGCGCGCGCCCAGACCCGCACCGCGAGCGCAGCCGCGACUCCCGAGGAGCGAAGACGUCCUUUAAGACGUUCGUCUGUCCGGAGUAGCGAAGGCCGGGCGGCUGGUUAAUUGCAGCCUUUAGGUUUGGCCGCAAACCACACUCCACCCUCUCUCCCUGCUCCCUCCUCGGGGGAGGAAAGCCAGUUUAAAGAGGCAGCUUGGCCGCAACCAAACCCUUGUAGGGCGGCUGCAAGUCGUCUUGUUCCCUGUUUGGUCGGCUCCUCUGUCAAUCAGCCGACUGCCAUUUGUGGGGCCGGGGAGGGAGCUGUCCAGUGCUGAACCCGAGGCGGCCCGCGGGCGGCGGGGGCGCGGGAGGCAGCCUGCCGAGUCCUCGCACCCACUCGCGUUCCGGAUGACUCGGAAACCUGCGUGGGUGGCGUAGGGUGGGCGGCAGAGGGGGGAGAAGCAGAGAUUCGGUGGCUCAGAGCGAAGGAAACUUGGACGUACUGAGGGGGAGGGUGUUGGCGUCUUGCAUGCUUAGUUAAAUCAGCCUUUUGCCUGGAAAAGAGGGAGAAGGGAGUAGUUUUCAUUUCUAGGUGAAAUUAGACAGAAGGGACAUAGGAUGGAGACGUGUCCUCCUGAGCAUCUGCUCAUUUUAGGCAAAUUAUCAAAUCAUCUUUCUUGUUGUCAGUUAAAGAAAUGAUUAAAACAUACUUGUCUAGGCUCAUCUUAGCUGAGGGAGUAAUGGAGAAAUCUACCAGCUGUGCUUUAAGGAGAGAAAAAAAAGUCAUAUUUAAGGAAUCUCUGCUUGGGGGCCAGAAUGGAGGGGAACGUGUAAAAAUGUAUGCAAGUAAAGAUGUGUAAGGGAGAGAGCAAGGGGGAGGACUCAUGAGCUCUGGGAGAAUGAGAAGGAGCCUGUGUUGAGUGAGAAGGGAAAUCAUCCUGACUGGGAGUUCCUGGAAUUGAGAGAUAAGAACUAAGACUUCUAUUUAGCUAAAGGUUGGGAUAUCCCAGCAGAAGAAAGAAGAACUGAGCAAGUAUGCCAAGUCCCCCAAAUUAUUGGUAAAUUUCUUAACACAAUCUAAUUGAUGUUUUGACGCUUAUUAGAGAAUUUAAGUGUCUUCUGACACUCCAAAAGUAGACUGGUACCAGAAAAGUAGUGUUUUGCACAGCUAGCUCCACUUUCCAUAUGCACCUCUAUUUUCAAAUUCCCCAAGAAAGACACAAAUAGAAAAUAUCCAACUUACUUUAAUUCCCAACUAACAAAAAUGUCCCUCAUGGCAUUCUAAGCAGGCACUGCUUAGAUUCACUGUACUAUUUCAUGUCAUCCUUCCUAUUGAGAAAAUACUUAAGGACUGGAAUGUAAGCUCCAAAAGAGCAAAAAUCUUUGUCUGCAUUGGUCACUGAGGUACCUUGAGCACCCAGAACACUACCUGGCACAUAGUAGGCUCUGGCUAAAUAGUUGCUAAAUUAGUGAAUGAAUGGGAAGAUCAUGAUGAUGAAGCUAACUUAAAAAUCAAUCUCCUCACCCAAGAAGAGAAGUCUGCCUGACACACCAGUGAUGAGGGUUUUUGGAAGAAGACACAGCAACCAGUUUUUCAAACCGCAGUGGUUGGUCUCCAAAUGAGUUUUUAUAGUUAUGCAAAGAGUGGUUAUUAGAUUUAUAUUUACUUACAAGUAGAUUUCAUGUUCAUUUCCGACUUUUUGUUUAAAUUUUUCUUUGCAAUGUAUGCUCCUAUGCUAAGUAAAGGUCAUCCCGGUUUAGUGCUCUGCCACAGUAUGGGUGGCAAUAAUAACAGAAAGAGUUUCUGCUUAUUUAAUGUAUCAAAGUAUAAACUAUGGUAUUCCAUUUACUUAACCAUCUAAAGUCCGAAGUAUAAUUUCCUCAUUCAUUGAUCCUUUUAGAAAACCUAUAUAACUUAUUAACAAUUCUUUAAAAUCCUCUAGUAUCUAACUUAAAAGAAGACAUAAUUGUAUUCGUAGAUCCUUCUGUAAGUAAUCAAAUGAACUAAGCACAAUCAAAAGACCUGGAUUCUGGUUCUAGCUUUAUUUUAAAGGAAGAUAUAUGACCACUGGCAAGACAUUUAAAAUUUCUGUGUCUUGGGACACAAACUGUGUGUGGGCCUCGGGAUUUCACAUUGAGGUUGUACGGGGGAGGCACCUGAGCUAGUCUCCCAGGGCACCAAUCCUUUCCCAAGUGCAUAUCUAAUGAGAAAGAUGCAGAAUAUGAGAGACUCUUGCAAUUAUAGUAUUCCCUUCAAUGGAUCCCCUUCAACCUACAUUGCCAAACAGCUGGGAUGAGCUAGUUGGAUCUAGAACAGCACUGCCCAAUAGAAAUACAAUGUGAACCAGAAGUAGGAUCCUUAUAAAUAAUUUCAAAUGUUCAAAUAGCAUAUUAAGAUAGUAAAAAGAAAAAGACUGAAAUUAAUUUUAAUAGUAAAUUUUAUGUAACCCAAUAUAUCCAAAUUUUUAUCAUUUCAAUAAGUAAACAAUGUAAAAGUAUUAAUGAUAUAUUUUACACUUUUUACACUAAGUCUUCAAAAUCUGAUUUGUAUUUUACACUCACAGCACAAGGCACUUCACACUAGCCACAUUUCAAGUGCUGACUAGCCACCCGUGGCCAGAGGCUACCCUAGAGUACAAGCUCUAGAAGACAGUCCAUUGCGGUCCAGAGUGCUAAGAAAUCUAGGUCCAUGCAA